CGGGACACGUGGUAUCCUGUCUGAAUAUGGGGGGACCAUCCUCCAAGGCUAAAUACUCCUGACUGACCGAUAGUGAACCAGUACCGUGAGGGAAAGGCGAAAAGAACCCCGGCGAGGGGAGUGAAAAAGAACCUGAAACCGUGUACGUACAAGCAGUGGGAGCACGCUUAGGCGUGUGACUGCGUACCUUUUGUAUAAUGGGUCAGCGACUUAUAUUCUGUAGCAAGGUUAACCGAAUAGGGGAGCCGAAGGGAAACCGAGUCUUAACUGGGCGUUAAGUUGCAGGGUAUAGACCCGAAACCCGGUGAUCUAGCCAUGGGCAGGUUGAAGGUUGGGUAACACUAACUGGAGGACCGAACCGACUAAUGUUGAAAAAUUAGCGGAUGACUUGUGGCUGGGGGUGAAAGGCCAAUCAAACCGGGAGAUAGCUGGUUCUCCCCGAAAGCUAUUUAGGUAGCGCCUCGUGAAUUCAUCUCCGGGGGUAGAGCACUGUUUCGGCAAGGGGGUCAUCCCGACUUACCAACCCGAUGCAAACUGCGAAUACCGGAGAAUGUUAUCACGGGAGACACACGGCGGGUGCUAACGUCCGUCGUGAAGAGGGAAACAACCCAGACCGCCAGCUAAGGUCCCAAAGUCAUGGUUAAGUGGGAAACGAUGUGGGAAGGCCCAGACAGCCAGGAUGUUGGCUUAGAAGCAGCCAUCAUUUAAAGAAAGCGUAAUAGCUCACUGGUCGAGUCGGCCUGCGCGGAAGAUGUAACGGGGCUAAACCAUGCACCGAAGCUGCGGCAGCGACGCUUAUGCGUUGUUGGGUAGGGGAGCGUUCUGUAAGCCUGUGAAGGUGUACUGUGAGGUAUGCUGGAGGUAUCAGAAGUGCGAAUGCUGACAUAAGUAACGAUAAAGCGGGUGAAAAGCCCGCUCGCCGGAAGACCAAGGGUUCCUGUCCAACGUUAAUCGGGGCAGGGUGAGUCGACCCCUAAGGCGAGGCCGAAAGGCGUAGUCGAUGGGAAACAGGUUAAUAUUCCUGUACUUGGUGUUACUGCGAAGGGGGGACGGAGAAGGCUAUGUUGGCCGGGCGACGGUUGUCCCGGUUUAAGCGUGUAGGCUGGUUUUCCAGGCAAAUCCGGAAAAUCAAGGCUGAGGCGUGAUGACGAGGCACUACGGUGCUGAAGCAACAAAUGCCCUGCUUCCAGGAAAAGCCUCUAAGCAUCAGGUAACAUCAAAUCGUACCCCAAACCGACACAGGUGGUCAGGUAGAGAAUACCAAGGCGCUUGAGAGAACUCGGGUGAAGGAACUAGGCAAAAUGGUGCCGUAACUUCGGGAGAAGGCACGCUGAUAUGUAGGUGAAGUCCCUCGCGGAUGGAGCUGAAAUCAGUCGAAGAUACCAGCUGGCUGCAACUGUUUAUUAAAAACACAGCACUGUGCAAACACGAAAGUGGACGUAUACGGUGUGACGCCUGCCCGGUGCCGGAAGGUUAAUUGAUGGGGUUAGCGCAAGCGAAGCUCUUGAUCGAAGCCCCGGUAAACGGCGGCCGUAACUAUAACGGUCCUAAGGUAGCGAAAUUCCUUGUCGGGUAAGUUCCGACCUGCACGAAUGGCGUAAUGAUGGCCAGGCUGUCUCCACCCGAGACUCAGUGAAAUUGAACUCGCUGU
Molecule: ribosomal RNA, 1651 nt
Filed under: Escherichia coli
Lineage: Bacteria; Pseudomonadati; Pseudomonadota; Gammaproteobacteria; Enterobacterales; Enterobacteriaceae
Description: partial 23S ribosomal RNA
Rfam family: Bacterial large subunit ribosomal RNA
Source: RNAcentral